This 839-nucleotide ribosomal RNA is filed under the name Psychrobacter sp. RNAcentral describes it as "bacterial SSU rRNA". It matches the Rfam family "Bacterial small subunit ribosomal RNA", at positions 36 to 869 of the family's 1533-position model. Lineage: Bacteria; Pseudomonadati; Pseudomonadota; Gammaproteobacteria; Moraxellales; Moraxellaceae. The record is from RNAcentral.
CUGCGGCAGGCUUAACACAUGCAAGUCGAGCGGAAACGAUGAUAGCUUGCUAUCAGGCGUCGAGCGGCGGACGGGUGAGUAAUACUUAGGAAUCUACCUAGUAGUGGGGGAUAGCUCGGGGAAACUCGAAUUAAUACCGCAUACGACCUACGGGAGAAAGGGGGCAACUUGUUGCUCUCGCUAUUAGAUGAGCCUAAGUCGGAUUAGCUAGAUGGUGGGGUAAAGGCCUACCAUGGCGACGAUCUGUAGCUGGUCUGAGAGGAUGAUCAGCCACACCGGGACUGAGACACGGCCCGGACUCCUACGGGAGGCAGCAGUGGGGAAUAUUGGACAAUGGGGGCAACCCUGAUCCAGCCAUGCCGCGUGUGUGAAGAAGGCCUUUUGGUUGUAAAGCACUUUAAGCAGUGAAGAAGACUCCAUGGUUAAUACCCAUGGACGAUGACAUUAGCUGCAGAAUAAGCACCGGCUAACUCUGUGCCAGCAGCCGCGGUAAUACAGAGGGUGCAAGCGUUAAUCGGAAUUACUGGGCGUAAAGCGAGCGUAGGUGGCUUGAUAAGUCAGAUGUGAAAUCCCCGGGCUUAACCUGGGAACUGCAUCUGAUACUGUUAGGCUAGAAUAGGUGAGAGGAAGGUAGAAUUCCAGGUGUAGCGGUGAAAUGCGUAGAGAUCUGGAGGAAUACCGAUGGCGAAGGCAGCCUUCUGGCAUCAUAUUGACACUGAGGUUCGAAAGCGUGGGUAGCAAACAGGAUUAGAUACCCUGGUAGUCCACGCCGUAAACGAUGUCUACUAGUCGUUGGGUCCCUUGAGGACUUAGUGACGCAGCUAACGCAAUAAGUAGAC